CAGUCGCCGCGGGAAUACAGAGGGUGCGAGCGUUAAUCGGAUUUACUGGGCGUAAAGCGUGCGUAGGCGGCUUUUUAAGUCGGAUGUGAAAUCCCUGAGCUUAACUUAGGAAUUGCAUUCGAUACUGGGAAGCUAGAGUAUGGGAGAGGAUGGUAGAAUUCCAGGUGUAGCGGUGAAAUGCGUAGAGAUCUGGAGGAAUACCGAUGGCGAAGGCAGCCAUCUGGCCUAAUACUGACGCUGAGGUACGAAAGCAUGGGGAGCAAACAGGAUUAGAUACCCGCGUAGUCCCUGUCUUCUUAUA
Molecule: ribosomal RNA, 301 nt
Filed under: uncultured bacterium
Lineage: Bacteria
Description: partial 16S ribosomal RNA
Rfam family: Bacterial small subunit ribosomal RNA
Source: RNAcentral